UAAAAGGGGGAACUAUCCCUGAAUGCUAAUAAUGCUCGUUUUAUUUCAAUUAUAAAAUUUGGAUGCCAAGGUUUAUGGCACCCUACAACUAGGCAUACUUCUGCCUAGGUGAAAUAGAAAGACCCACAUAUUGGCAUGAUCCUGUCCAGGUAUUUUAUAUGGGGAAGAGGGAAUGUUUGUGUUUUUUCUACAGAAUGCUACAGGAGUGUGCCAGCUGCCUGAGAGUCUGGUGAGCCAUGCUGAUCCUGGGAGCAUGAAGAUUCAAUUCAGCUCUCGUGGUUCUGGUUCCUGGAGUCAUUCCUGUGCCCUUAGAGGAAGACGGAGGAUUCCCCCUCAUCUUUUGUCAUCACAGAAAUUCUGGCAUUGCUGCAGUCAUUGUGUCCUGUCCCAUCUCGGCCUGCCCUCCGACCCUCUGUGCACUGCUGCUUGCUGGAAGCUGCUGUGGACUGGGGAACUCUGCCCUGGUUCUGCAGAUCUCAGACAUGGUUCCAUUGCCUGCUGGUUGGUCCAGAGAAGAAUGACUGAUCCUGAACUGUCCUGGGAAAGACCUAGGCAUUUUCGCUGCUAUUGUGGCAGCCAUUACUGCUGCAGCCAUUGUGUCUGCAGUGUCUGGAGUUACCCUCCCCCAAUCUAUUGUUAGGCAAGCACAGUGGGUGAACUUUCUGGAGUAGUUGCUAACAAUUGGGAAUUCUAAAUUUUUAUUAUAGGAGCGGCUUGACUACGGCCCUUGGUGG
Molecule: long non-coding RNA, 734 nt
Filed under: Rattus norvegicus (Norway rat)
Lineage: Eukaryota; Metazoa; Chordata; Mammalia; Rodentia; Muridae
Description: long non-coding RNA NONRATT022150
Source: RNAcentral